This 901-nucleotide long non-coding RNA is filed under the name Marmota monax (woodchuck). The record is from RNAcentral. Lineage: Eukaryota; Metazoa; Chordata; Mammalia; Rodentia; Sciuridae.
CACAACCUCAUUUUUGUAUUCCUAUUCCUGUUUCUGGAUUUCUCUUUCCCAAUAAUUGCUAAAAUGAGAAGUGGUUUAAGUAAUUUAAGCCUUUGGUUGUUAAACUUAAAAUAUAAUACUGAGCAAACAGUAUUUAUUCUGAUCUAAAGAAGAUUUUAUUAUAUUUUAGCAAUGGGAAAGAAAAUUAACAUUGUGGAAAGUCCUCACCUAGCAGAAUUGUUUAAAACAUCUUUCUUAAUCUUUUUUAGUCCUCACAACAGCUAUAGGGUAGGAUUAUUAAAGGAGGAAAUAAGACUCAAUGGUUUAGUACCUUGUCCCAAAUCACACAUCUGAGGGUGUAGAGCUGGAAUACAAACCCAACUUGGAGCACAAAGAUUACUUAGAGGGACGUUUCACAUUAAUACAAGGGUCAGUUCAUCAGAAAAAUGUAACCAUUAUAAACACAAAAGCCAGGAGACAACAGAUCACCAAAACACAUCAAGCCAAACCAACAAAACUGAAAGGAGAAACAGGCAAGAGUGGAACUACAAAACUUCACUUCAAAGAAUGGAUAGAACAGCGGGGUAGAAGACUAACAAGGACACAGUAAGCUUGAAGACCUGCUACGAACUACCACAUGUGUGAGGAACACUUCAGCCAUCAGCAGAAUACACAGCUUCUCAAGUGCUCACAGAACACACUCUAUUCUAAGCUGUAACCUAAACCUCAAUAAACAUAGGAGAAUAGAAAUAAUACAAAGCAGGUUCUAUAAUAAAAAUGGAUUGAAAUUAGAAAUCAACACCAGAAAGAAUUUGAGGAAACCCACAAAUAUGUUGGAAUUAAGCAACACACUCCUAAACAUUCAAAGGGUCAAAGAAGAAAUCAAGGAGCUGGGAUUGUUGUUCAGCGGUACAGUGCUCAC